GGGCUGUAGAUCAGUGGUAGAUUACCUGCUUUGUGUGCAGGAGGUCCCAGGUUCAACCCCUGGCAGCAUCU
Hemicordylus capensis (graceful crag lizard) is the source of this 71-nucleotide non-coding RNA. The record is from the annotation of a RefSeq genome assembly. Lineage: Eukaryota; Metazoa; Chordata; Lepidosauria; Squamata; Cordylidae.